CCCUGGGGACCCAGCGGUCGGGGUGGGCCUGCUGUUGAGUUACGUCUGCAGGGCAACUAAAUACAUGUCUAGGUAUAUGCCAAAUUGACUAAAACCAACAAUGACGCCUUCAGCGACUUUCACACAAUGGGUGGUGUUCUAUUACAGCAUUCAACAAUGGGGCACUUCGGUGAAGACUAUGGAUUCAUCCACUUGAGCCGAUUUACUGAUCAGCAAAAGAGCAUAAUCCAUAACCCACCAAGAGUGGAAGUAACUGCAUGUCCUGCCUGAAAAAUGCCCAUGUUCAUCUCAAAGAUAAGAACUAGCAGUAAGUGAAAUCAUUCUGCAUUUUCCAGAGCUGUUUCAAACGUCUCUCCCAGAAGCAAAAAGUAUUAUCCAGUACUCAGCACAGCUAUGUCCUCCUCUUCUAGUCCAUCUGCUAAAGGGUAUGGUGAGGCAGGAGGACUGAGAGAAUUGCAGAGCUCCAGGGAGAAGGAAGCAGAAGUGUCUCCUGGGAAGUUAGACCUCCCUGAGUAGUGCUGAUGUGAUGUGGGUGUAGCAGGAUUCUAUGGAGCAGCCGUAAGUGGUGGAAGGAGAGGCCGGAGUGGCCUCUUGAGGUCUGUUCAGUAGCACAGCCCUGGCAGAGAUGGGUUUCGGCCAAGGAGGCUGUCCACUGGCUAAGGGGGACUGGAGGACCCCAGGGGCUUGCAUUCCACGUCCCCCACUGCCACCCUCUCCCCUGUGGUUCCAAAUCAGCAUACCCUUUCCAUUCCCUUCCUUCUCAGGAACAAAGGCAAAAAAGAGAAGAUUAUAGACUGCCUCAGGGCAGGGGCCUGGUUUAAACAUAUCUUUAAGGCUUAAAUUGCCACCUCUUCCUCCAGGCCUAGUUGUACAAUAUCAGACCAGCCCUGUUUACAGUUCUUAUAUAGUGACUGUGCAAUUAAUGAAUAGUUUGGAGUAUAAUUUCAGUAACAACCAGUUGGUCCUAGGGUCUCUUUAAUCGUUCUUUUGUCUGGGGUGUAGAGCAUUUACUAAUAACAGAGAUACCAUUCAGAUUGUUACACCUGAGAAUUGCGGAAAGAAAAGCCACAUCCACAAUUGUCCAGUUAAAGCAAGCUUUAUUCUGGGGUGCACCUGGGACUGGCUGAUCUGGCUGCCUCUCCCUAUGUCGAAAUUUUAGAGAGCAGCCCCUGCUGGCCUCUUGAAGUCCCUUUUGUAGGAGAGAUCAAGUGUCCCAGGGCCAGAGAGUUGGCUGCUCUACACUGUUGGAAAAAGACAGCAAAAGGGAAGGAACAGGGGUCAGGAUGUGCAUCAUGUGAACGGGGUCGCAAGUUUAGUGUGGGUUGAAAAACACGUUUGCAGUUUACAUCAGAUCUAAGAAGCAGGAAUUUAAUCUUAAUUUACAAAUAGAAAGUAACUUGCAUGGGCUUAACACAGGACAAACAGGAGCUUAUUCUUUAACUACAAACAGAAACCUUUUCCUGCACAGGACAAACAGAAACGUCUUUAUCACAAACAGAAACUUUAACUUGCAAGGGCUUAACAUAAGACAAACAGGAACAUAUUCUUAACUGAACCUUCAACCUGCAAGGUAUAUUUCCCCUGUUUGGUCUCACAAGCUAUAUGAGCAAUCCUGGAGGAGUCACCCUGUAACGUGGGUAUUUAACCUUCGGUGGGCAAAGCUGCAUUUUGUGUUUUGAUACCUUAUAGCCUGUCUUAGCUAGUUGCUAUAAUAAGAAAAGUUGACCUUUGAGUCAAGCAUCAUGUGAGAAAGAAGAGAGCAGGUCAUCUGUAAAGGACUCUUAAACAGAGAAACAGGAUACCCAGGCUUUCUGCCAA
This is a long non-coding RNA of Peromyscus eremicus (cactus mouse), 1818 nucleotides long. RefSeq lists it as uncharacterized. Lineage: Eukaryota; Metazoa; Chordata; Mammalia; Rodentia; Cricetidae. The transcript has 3 exons. The record is from RefSeq and is a predicted model, not a curated record.